GUGCUAAUCUGCGAUAAGCGUCGGUAAGGUGAUAUGAACCGUUAUAACCGGCGAUUUCCGAAUGGGGAAACCCAGUGUGUUUCGACACACUAUCAUUAACUGAAUCCAUAGGUUAAUGAGGCGAACCGGGGGAACUGAAACAUCUAAGUACCCCGAGGAAAAGAAAUCAACCGAGAUUCCCCCAGUAGCGGCGAGCGAACGGGGAGCAGCCCAGAGCCUGAAUCAGUGUGUGUGUUAGUGGAAGCGUCUGGAAAGGCGCGCGAUACAGGGUGACAGCCCCGUACACAAAAAUGCACAUGCUGUGAGCUCGAUGAGUAGGGCGGGACACGUGGUAUCCUGUCUGAAUAUGGGGGGACCAUCCUCCAAGGCUAAAUACUCCUGACUGACCGAUAGUGAACCAGUACCGUGAGGGAAAGGCGAAAAGAACCCCGGCGAGGGGAGUGAAAAAGAACCUGAAACCGUGUACGUACAAGCAGUGGGAGCACGCUUAGGCGUGUGACUGCGUACCUUUUGUAUAAUGGGUCAGCGACUUAUAUUCUGUAGCAAGGUUAACCGAAUAGGGGAGCCGAAGGGAAACCGAGUCUUAACUGGGCGUUAAGUUGCAGGGUAUAGACCCGAAACCCGGUGAUCUAGCCAUGGGCAGGUUGAAGGUUGGGUAACACUAACUGGAGGACCGAACCGACUAAUGUUGAAAAAUUAGCGGAUGACUUGUGGCUGGGGGUGAAAGGCCAAUCAAACCGGGAGAUAGCUGGUUCUCCCCGAAAGCUAUUUAGGUAGCGCCUCGUGAAUUCAUCUCCGGGGGUAGAGCACUGUUUCGGCAAGGGGGUCAUCCCGACUUACCAACCCGAUGCAAACUGCGAAUACCGGAGAAUGUUAUCACGGGAGACACACGGCGGGUGCUAACGUCCGUCGUGAAGAGGGAAACAACCCAGACCGCCAGCUAAGGUCCCAAAGUCAUGGUUAAGUGGGAAACGAUGUGGGAAGGCCCAGACAGCCAGGAUGUUGGCUUAGAAGCAGCCAUCAUUUAAAGAAAGCGUAAUAGCUCACUGGUCGAGUCGGCCUGCGCGGAAGAUGUAACGGGGCUAAACCAUGCACCGAAGCUGCGGCAGCGACGCUGAUGCGUUGUUGGGUAGGGGAGCGUUCUGUAAGCCUGCGAAGGUGUGCUGUGAGGCAUGCUGGAGGUAUCAGAAGUGCGAAUGCUGACAUAAGUAACGAUAAAGCGGGUGAAAAGCCCGCUCGCCGGAAGACCAAGGGUUCCUGUCCAACGUUAAUCGGGGCAGGGUGAGUCGACCCCUAAGGCGAGGCCGAAAGGCGUAGUCGAUGGGAAACAGGUUAAUAUUCCUGUACUUGGUGUUACUGCGAAGGGGGGACGGAGAAGGCUAUGUUGGCCGGGCGACGGUUGUCCCGGUUUAAGCGUGUAGGCUGGUUUUCCAGGCAAAUCCGGAAAAUCAAGGCUGAGGCGUGAUGACGAGGCACUACGGUGCUGAAGCAACAAAUGCCCUGCUUCCAGGAAAAGCCUCUAAGCAUCAGGUAACAUCAAAUCGUACCCCAAACCGACACAGGUGGUCAGGUAGAGAAUACCAAGGCGCUUGAGAGAACUCGGGUGAAGGAACUAGGCAAAAUGGUGCCGUAACUUCGGGAGAAGGCACGCUGAUAUGUAGGUGAAGUCCCUUGCGGAUGGAGCUGAAAUCAGUCGAAGAUACCAGCUGGCUGCAACUGUUUAUUAAAAACACAGCACUGUGCAAACACGAAAGUGGACGUAUACGGUGUGACGCCUGCCCGGUGCCGGAAGGUUAAUUGAUGGGGUUAGCCGCAAGGCGAAGCUCUUGAUCGAAGCCCCGGUAAACGGCGGCCGUAACUAUAACGGUCCUAAGGUAGCGAAAUUCCUUGUCGGGUAAGUUCCGACCUGCACGAAUGGCGUAAUGAUGGCCAGGCUGUCUCCACCCGAGACUCAGUGAAAUUGAACUCGCUGUGAAGAUGCAGUGUACCCGCGGCAAGACGGAAAGACCCCGUGAACCUUUACUAUAGCUUGACACUGAACAUUGAGCCUUGAUG
Molecule: ribosomal RNA, 2055 nt
Filed under: Escherichia coli
Lineage: Bacteria; Pseudomonadati; Pseudomonadota; Gammaproteobacteria; Enterobacterales; Enterobacteriaceae
Description: partial 23S ribosomal RNA
Rfam family: Bacterial large subunit ribosomal RNA
Source: RNAcentral